RNAcentral lists this ribosomal RNA (505 nucleotides) under Lithodes maja. RNAcentral describes it as "partial 16S ribosomal RNA". It matches the Rfam family "Bacterial large subunit ribosomal RNA", at positions 1908 to 2620 of the family's 2925-position model. The record is from RNAcentral. Lineage: Eukaryota; Metazoa; Arthropoda; Malacostraca; Decapoda; Lithodidae.
CUGAUUAAAUUAAAGAGCCGCAGUAUUUUGACUGUGCGAAGGUAGCAUAAUAAAUUGUCUUUUAAAUAAAGGCUUGAAUGAAAGGUUGGACAAAGUAUCAUCUGUUUCUUAAAUAUUUAUUGAAUUUGACUUUUAAGUGAAAAGGCUUAAAUAAAUCAAAAAGACGAUAAGACCCUAUAAAUCUUUACAAUAAAUAUAUUUUAUAUUUUAGCUUAUAAGUGUAUAAAAAAUAAAAAUAUAGGUUUGUUGCGCUGGGGCGGCGUAGAUAUAUAAAUAAACUGUCUAUAAUUUAAAUACAAUAAUCAUUGUUUAAUAUAAAUUGAUCCUUAAAUAGAUUAAAAGAUUAAGAUACUUUAGGGAUAACAGCGUUAUUUUUUUUGAGAGUUCUUAUCGAAGAAAAAGUUUGCGACCUCGAUGUUGAAUUAAAGUAUCUCUAUGGUGUAGCCGCUAUAAGAGAGAGUCUGUUCGACUUUUAAUACUUUACGUGAUCUGAGUUCAGACCGGA